Molecule: long non-coding RNA, 1163 nt
Organism: Cornus florida
Lineage: Eukaryota; Viridiplantae; Streptophyta; Magnoliopsida; Cornales; Cornaceae
Exons: 2
Source: RefSeq, a predicted model, not a curated record
UUUUAUUCUCUCCAACCAAACACAAAAAUAUUUUUUAUCCUCCCUGCUUAAUCUGUCUCUCCUCUUCCUUCAAUUUUGGACAAAUAAAAAAUUACAAAGGAAGGAAGGAAGGAUGGUUGCUUCAUCCCUCUUUCCUUAAUUCUUCCCUCCAACUAAACAUAAAAAUAUAUUUUUGUCCCUCCCACCCCCAACCAAACAUGGCAUUAAUCUACUAUUCUUGCCUUAAAAAAAAAAAUUUAUUUGAGGGGGGGACCAAUCACACAUUGGGAAGCAUUAUAUCGUAUGGUUUGGGUAGAACGUUACAAAUUAUGUAGGGUACACAUGAUUAAAAUGGCAGAAGAGAGAACCACUGAUCCAUCUCGUCAACCAACCGGCAAUUUCCUGGUAAUUUCCUCCCAUCUACUUUCAUCACUCCCAAGAAAGUUUCAUUGGAGAGCUUUACUUCACCACUUACCCUCCUACUUGUAGCAGUUGAGAAAAAUCGAGUGUUGUUGGAGCCGAAGGGUACUGGAUCGAUGAUUGAAAUUCAAUUAUGGAUUACAACAUUUUAAGGCAUGAGGUGAAGAUUAUUCAAGGGGUUAUAAAAGAACUGGGGCAUAUACCAUUAAAUGUUGCCAAGUACCAAUUGGGGAUAGAUUCUCGUUCCAAAAAGUGAGCACUCUGCCAAACAAUGUGUUAAAGGAUGUGCGCAUUGUGCGGAAUUGUGGAACUGGGGGAAUAGGAUAGACAACCAUUGCCAAAGUUGUUUCCAACCGAAUAUUCAAUCAAUUUGAAAGUAAUUUUUUUCUUGAAAAUGUGAAAAGUUUCAAAAUUAUGGUCUAACAUAUCUGCAGCAAGAACUUUUUAAUGAGAUUCUAAUAGAAAAUGAGUUUUAAGUUAAAAAAAAAACUUUGGCAAGAGUUGUCUUUCCUGUUUUGCCAGUUCUUCAAAUCCACACAGUGUGGGGAUAUUCUUUAACCCAUUGUCUAGCGGAGUGGUCACUUUAAAUUAUUUGUUUAUAGGAAAAGAGACAAGAAUAUAUAGACUUGUGAAGUAAUGUUACACACAAAUCGCAAACGCUAUACUCGUCUUGAGGAUGAAAUGGUAAGUGGUACUUAUCAAUGUUUAUUGUGAUUGAACCAUAGUAUUAGUACUAAUAUGAAAAGUUGUCAGUGAUUGAUUCA